UGCCGGGUAGCUAACUACGGAAGAGAUAAGCGCUGAAAGCAUCUAAGCGCGAAACUCGCCUCAAGAUGAGACUUCCCGGAGGUUUAACCUCCCUAAAGGGUCGUUGCAGACUACAACGUUGAUAGGUCGGGUGUGCAAGCGUAGCAAUGCGUUCAGCUAACCGAUACUAAUUGCCCGUGCGGCUUGAUCCUAUAGCCUU
Molecule: ribosomal RNA, 199 nt
Filed under: Betaproteobacteria bacterium
Lineage: Bacteria; Pseudomonadati; Pseudomonadota; Betaproteobacteria
Description: partial 23S ribosomal RNA
Rfam family: Bacterial large subunit ribosomal RNA
Source: RNAcentral